GGAGGUUGGUGGUGGACGAUCCACUCGCCAACCGGGUCAGGUCCGGAAGGAAGCAGCCCUAACGAGCCACGGAACGGGUCAUUGUUCCAGCCUCCCGC
Molecule: signal recognition particle RNA, 98 nt
Filed under: Hyphomicrobiales bacterium
Lineage: Bacteria; Pseudomonadati; Pseudomonadota; Alphaproteobacteria; Hyphomicrobiales
Also listed under: 1 other name
Description: Rhizobiales bacterium (bioreactor metagenome) signal recognition particle sRNA small type
Rfam family: Bacterial small signal recognition particle RNA
About the family: The signal recognition particle (SRP) is a universally conserved ribonucleoprotein involved in the co-translational targeting of proteins to membranes. Archaeal SRP consists of a 7S RNA and homologues of the eukaryotic SRP19 and SRP54 proteins. In most bacteria, the SRP consists of a 4.5S RNA and the Ffh protein (a homologue of the eukaryotic SRP54 protein).
Source: RNAcentral